This 502-nucleotide ribosomal RNA is filed under the name uncultured bacterium. Its description in RNAcentral is "partial 16S ribosomal RNA". It matches the Rfam family "Bacterial small subunit ribosomal RNA", at positions 28 to 507 of the family's 1533-position model. The record is from RNAcentral.
GACGAACGCUGGCGGCGUGCUUAACACAUGCAAGUCGAACGGUGAAGGGGCCUGCUUUUGUGGGCCCUGGAUGAGUGGCGAACGGGUGAGUAACACGUGAGUAACCUGCCCCCUUCUUCUGGAUAACCGCAUGAAAGUGUGGCUAAUACGGGAUAUUCUGGGUCUGUCGCAUGAUGGGUCUGGGAAAGAUUGCGCCUUUGGGUGUUUUUGGUGGGGGAUGGGCUCGCGGCCUAUCAGCUUGUUGGUGGGGUGAUGGCCUACCAAGGCGGUGACGGGUAGCCGGCCUGAGAGGGUGGACGGUCACACUGGGACGGAGACACGGCCCAGACUCCUACGGGAGGCAGCAGUGGGGAAUAUUGCACGAUGGGCACAAGCCUGAUGCAGCGACGCCGCGUGAGGGAUGGAGGCCUUCGGGUUGUAAACCUCUUUCGCCAGUGAAGCAGGCCUGCUCCUUGUGGGUGGGUUGACGGUAGCUGGAUAAGAAGCGCCGGCUAACUACGUG